This 497-nucleotide ribosomal RNA is filed under the name uncultured bacterium. RNAcentral describes it as "partial 16S ribosomal RNA". It matches the Rfam family "Bacterial small subunit ribosomal RNA", at positions 28 to 507 of the family's 1533-position model. The record is from RNAcentral.
GAUGAACGCUGGCGGCGUGCCUAAUACAUGCAAGUCGAGCGAACAGACGAGGAGCUUGCUCCUUUGACGUUAGCGGCGGACGGGUGAGUAACACGUAGGUAACCUACCUAUAAGACUGGGAUAACUUCGGGAAACCGGAGCUAAUACGGGAUAAUAUUUCGAACCGCAUGGUUCGAUAGUGAAAGAUGGCUUUGCUAUCACUUAUAGAUGGACCUGCGCCGUAUUAGCUAGUUGGUAAGGUAACGGCUUACCAAGGCAACGAUACGUAGCCGACCUGAGAGGGUGAUCGGCCACACUGGAACUGAGACACGGUCCAGACUCCUACGGGAGGCAGCAGUAGGGAAUCUUCCGCAAUGGGCGAAAGCCUGACGGAGCAACGCCGCGUGAGUGAUGAAGGUCUUCGGAUCGUAAAACUCUGUUAUUAGGGAAGAACAAACGUGUAAGUAACUGUGCACGUCUUGACGGUACCUAAUCAGAAAGCCACGGCUAACUACGUG